RNA transcript from Salvia miltiorrhiza (redroot sage), 2637 nucleotides. RefSeq lists it as uncharacterized. NCBI's taxonomy places the organism in Eukaryota, Viridiplantae, Streptophyta, Magnoliopsida, Lamiales, Lamiaceae. The record is from RefSeq and is a predicted model, not a curated record. The transcript has 3 exons.
GAGAAUUGUGAUUAUGAUUGACAUUCAAUUAAUUCCACUCUCUAUUUCGUCUAUUAAUUUGUUAAUUAAUUUCGUUUAUUAAUAGGGUAUUAUUUAUCUAUUAAUUUCAGCUUAGCAAUCAAUUUAUUAAUUUGAAUUAAUUUAAUUUUAUAGGAAAUUGAACGUUUUUUUUCUAAAAAACGUAGAGGUGAAUCUUCAAGUUGUUCAAUUACACCUUUUAUUGGAGCAAAUGCUGAAGCAAAUGUAGAAGUUGAAGAAAAUGUGGAAACUGAAACAAAUUUUAAUGAAUAUGUUCGUGAUCCGGGAUUAAGGAAACCAAUUGAUGAGUUUGAUAUUGCUAUUCGAGAUCAAGUACGUAGAGAAUAUUGGUCUAUGGGGCCUUGUCAAGUAGUUGGACAUACAUAUCCGAAGACUGAAUUCGGCACUCAAUUAAGGAGUUUUCAAGAUGCUUGGUAUGAAAAGUUUGUGUGGUUAGAGUAUAGUGUUGCAAAAGACGCUUGUUUUUGCUUUUGGUGUUAUCUUUUCAAGCCACAGGAUAAAGCGAGUAAGUAUAGAGCAGAUGCAUUUACCAAGACAGGAUUUAGCAAUUGGAAGAAGGCCUUGGUUAAAUUUGCAGAACAUAUUGGAAAUGCAGAUAGUUGUCACAACAAUGCCAGAAUGCAAAUUGAAGCCUUUAAAGAUCAAAGACAUAGUGUGGCAUCUAUGUUUAGAUCACAAGCUCGUGAGUUGGAUGUUGCUUACCGCGCUCGUUUGACGGCUUCAUUGGAUGUGAGUCGUUUUCUAUUGAAGCAAGGAAUGCCUUUUCGUGGAAACGAUGAGUCAACUAGUUCUUCAAAUCGAGGUAAUUUUCUUGAGUUGCUUCAUUGGUAUAGUGAUCAUAAUGAUGUUGUUUCCAAAGUUUUGGGUUCAAAUGCUCCUGGUAAUAGUCAAAUGACUUCUCCACAAAUUCAAAAAGAUUUAGCACGUGCUUGUGCUUCAGAGGUUACACUUGCUAUAAUUAAUGAUAUUGGGGAUAAAGUGUUUACUAUGUUGGUUGAUGAGGCUCGGGAUGUAUCAUUGAAAGAGCAAAUGGGGGUAGUUUUAAGAUAUGUGAAUGAUAAAGGAUGUGUAAUUGAAAGAUUUAUUGGCAUUGUGCAUGUUGUUGACACUUGUUCACAUUCUCUUAAAGAUGCUCUUAGUGCUUUAUUUGUGAAACAUGGUUUAUCACUAUCAAAACUGCGAGGUCAAGGAUAUGAUGGAGCUUCAAACAUGAGAGGUGAGUUCAAUGGGUUGAAGGCCUUAAUCUUGGAAGAAAAUCCUUAUGCUAUGUACAUUCAUUGUUUUUCACAUCAAUUUCAGUUAAUUGUUGUUGCUGUUGCUAAGAGUAUCAUGGCUGUGAAGGAUUGUUUUAGCUAUGUUUCCAUGAUUGUGAAUACAACUGGAGCAUCUUGCAAAAGAAAAGAUCAGCUUAGAAUGUUAGAACAUGAGAGAUUAGUCAAAGAACUCAAUGAUGAAGUAAGGACAAGUGGAAAAGGCCAAAAUUAGGAGACAAGUUUGGUAAGACCUGGAGAUACUCGAUGGGGCUCACAUUAUGCGACUUUGCUUCGUUUAUGUGCUAUAUGGCCUUCAGUGCUCUUAGUGUUGGAGAAUAUACGUGAUGAUACAACUAGCUCUGAUGUUAGAAGUACUGCAAGAGGUUUGCUUCGGAAGAUGAAUGAUUAUGAGUUUGUGUUUGUGAUGCAUUUGAUGAAAUAUUUGUUAGGAAUCACAAAUGAAUUGUCAUAUGCAUUACAAAGAAGGGAUCAAAAUAUUGUGCAAGCCAUGAUUUUGAUUGAUGCAGUGAAAUCUCAACUACAUGACUUCAGAAACACUGGGUGGGAAAUAAUUUGUGAUGAAGUCAAUAGAUUUUGUGAGGUGAAUGCUGUUUAUUUGAUUGAUAUGGAAGACACGAUAACACGACCUGGUUAUAGAAGGCAGAGCAUCACCAAUGAUCAUUAUUACCGUGUGGAGAUUUUUACAGAGGUUGUUGAUUUAAUCAUACAAGAGAUGAAUAAUCGUUUUUCUGAAGCUAGCACCGAUCUACUUAGAUGCAUGGCAUGUCUUGAUCCAACAGAUUCUUUCUCCCAAUUUGACAUUAAUCAACUCAUGCGUUUUACUACUUGGUAUCCUGAAGACUUCUCCGCAGGUGAUUGUUUAUGUCUGCCACAACAACUCCGUAAUUUCAUAGUACUUGUGCGGCAUCAUCCUCGCUUUUCUACGAUCACUGAUUUGGGAAGUUUUGCUCAAGAAAUGGUUAAAAGUGGCAAUCAUUUAAUUUUUCAAUUAGUUUAUCGUAUGAUUGAGUUGACAUUGGUUUUACCUGUAGCUACUGCUUCUGUUGAGAGAGCAUUUUCUGCAAUGAAGCUCGUCAAAAGUGAUUUGCGAAAUCGUAUGCAGGACGAGUGGAUGAAUGACAGUUUGAUCGUGUACAUUGAAAAGGAUAUUUUCUCAACAAUUGAUAAUGAGAAGAUAUUGCAACGUUUUCAGUCGAUGAGUACACGUCGCAAUCAAUUGUCAUCACUUUCUCAAACAGAAACAACUAGUUCACCAAGUAUUUAUUCUUAGGUUAUUUGUAAUGUAUUGAACUUUUAUAGCUAUGUUAUUUCAACUGUAUUAGAA